Molecule: ribosomal RNA, 1040 nt
Filed under: gut metagenome
Description: bacterial SSU rRNA
Rfam family: Bacterial small subunit ribosomal RNA
Source: RNAcentral
AUUGCAGGUACCGCACGAAUAAGGACCGGCUAAUUCCGUGCCAGCAGCCGCGGUAAUACGGAAGGUCCGGGCGUUAUCCGGAUUUAUUGGGUUUAAAGGGAGCGCAGGCCGUCCUUUAAGCGUGCUGUGAAAUGCCGCGGCUCAACCGUGGCACUGCAGCGCGAACUGGAGGACUUGAGUACGCACGAGGUAGGCGGAAUUCGUGGUGUAGCGGUGAAAUGCUUAGAUAUCACGAAGAACUCCGAUUGCGAAGGCAGCUUACCGGAGCGCAACUGACGCUGAGGCUCGAAAGCGCGGGUAUCGAACAGGAUUAGAUACCCUGGUAGUCCGCGCGGUAAACGAUGGAUGCCCGCCGUUGGGUUUUAGAAUUCAGCGGCCAAGCGAAAGCGUUAAGCAUCCCACCUGGGGAGUACGCCGGCAACGGUGAAACUCAAAGGAAUUGACGGGGGCCCGCACAAGCGGAGGAACAUGUGGUUUAAUUCGAUGAUACGCGAGGAACCUUACCCGGGCUUGAAUUGCAGGAGAACGAUCCAGAGAUGGUGAGGCCCUUCGGGGCUCCUGUGAAGGUGCUGCAUGGUUGUCGUCAGCUCGUGCCGUGAGGUGUCGGCUCAAGUGCCAUAACGAGCGCAACCCCUGUCCAUAGUUGCCAUCAGGUCGUGCUGGGCACUCUGUGGAGACUGCCGCCGUAAGGUGUGAGGAAGGUGGGGAUGACGUCAAAUCAGCACGGCCCUUACGUCCGGGGCUACACACGUGUUACAAUGGGGCAUACAGCGAGUUGGAUGUGCGCAAGUACGUCCGGAUCAAUAAAGUGCCUCUCAGUUCGGACUGGGGUCUGCAACCCGACCCCACGAAGCUGGAUUCGCUAGUAAUCGCGCAUCAGCCAUGGCGCGGUGAAUACGUUCCCGGGCCUUGUACACACCGCCCGUCAAGCCAUGAAAGCCGGGGGCGCCUGAAGUCCGUGACCGCGAGGGUCGGCCUAGGGUGAAACCGGUGAUUGGGGCUAAGUCGUAACAAGGUAGCCGUACCGGAAGGUGCGGCUG